GACGAACGCUGGCGGCGUGCCUAAUACAUGCAAGUAGAACGCACAGUUUAUACCGUAGCUUGCUACACCAUAAACUGUGAGUUGCGAACGGGUGAGUAACGCGUAGGUAACCUGCCUGGUAGCGGGGGAUAACUAUUGGAAACGAUAGCUAAUACCGCAUAAUAUUGAUUAUUGCAUGAUAAUUGAUUGAAAGAUGCUAUUGCAUCACUACCAGAUGGACCUGCGUUGUAUUAGCUAGUAGGUGAGGUAACGGCUCACCUAGGCGACGAUACAUAGCCGACCUGAGAGGGUGAUCGGCCACACUGGGACUGGGACACGGCCCAGACUCCUACGGGAGGCAGCCGUAGGGAAUCUUCGGCAAUGGACGAAAGUCUGACCGAGCAACGCCGCGUGAGUGAAGAAGGUUUUCGGAUCGUAAAGCUCUGUUGUAAGAGAAGAACGGGUGUGAGAGUGGAAAGUUCACACUGUGACGGUAUCUUACCAGAAAGGGACGGCUAACUACGUG
RNAcentral lists this ribosomal RNA (505 nucleotides) under uncultured bacterium. RNAcentral's name for it is "partial 16S ribosomal RNA". It matches the Rfam family "Bacterial small subunit ribosomal RNA", at positions 28 to 507 of the family's 1533-position model. The record is from RNAcentral.